GGGUCACUGCUACGUUUAUUAUUUUAAGUGGAAUGGAAUGCGUUGAGCUUGAUAAUGAUGCAGAUGAUGAUGACCCAUUUGAGUUGAAAAGUAAAAAAGAGAACCGUCUGGAG
Long non-coding RNA from Saccostrea echinata, 113 nucleotides. RefSeq lists it as uncharacterized. The transcript has 3 exons. The record is from RefSeq and is a predicted model, not a curated record. NCBI's taxonomy places the organism in Eukaryota, Metazoa, Mollusca, Bivalvia, Ostreida, Ostreidae.